RNAcentral lists this ribosomal RNA (464 nucleotides) under uncultured Desulfobulbus sp. RNAcentral's name for it is "bacterial SSU rRNA". It matches the Rfam family "Bacterial small subunit ribosomal RNA", at positions 924 to 1382 of the family's 1533-position model. Lineage: Bacteria; Pseudomonadati; Thermodesulfobacteriota; Desulfobulbia; Desulfobulbales; Desulfobulbaceae. The record is from RNAcentral.
CACAAGCGGUGGAGUAUGUGGUUUAAUUCGAUGCAACGCGAAGAACCUUACCUGGUCUUGACAUCCCGGAGACCCUUAGGAAACUAGGGGGUGCUUCCAUCUGGAAGAAUCUGGAGACAGGUGCUGCAUGGCUGUCGUCAGCUCGUGUCGUGAGAUGUUGGGUUAAGUCCCGCAACGAGCGCAACCCUUGCCUUUAGUUGCCAGCAGUUCGGCUGGGCACUCUAAAGGGACUGCCGGUGUUAAACCGGAGGAAGGUGGGGAUGACGUCAAGUCCUCAUGGCCUUUAUGACCAGGGCUACACACGUACCACAAUGGCCGAUACAAAGGGCAGCGACACUGCGAGGUGAAGCCAAUCCCGUAAAAUCGGUCUCAGUCCGGAUUGGAGUCUGCAACUCGACUCCAUGAAGUUGGAAUCGCUAGUAAUCGUGGAUCAGCAUGCCACGGUGAAUACGUUCCCGGGCCUU